UACUCCUACGGGAGGCAGCAGUGGGGAAUUUUGGACAAUGGGCGCAAGCCUGAUCCAGCCAUGCCGCGUGUCUGAAGAAGGCCUUCGGGUUGUAAAGGACUUUUGUCAGGGAAGAAAAGGCUGUUGCUAAUAUCGACAGCUGAUGACGGUACCUGAAGAAUAAGCACCGGCUAACUACGUGCCAGCAGCCGCGGUAAUACGUAGGGUGCGAGCGUUAAUCGGAAUUACUGGGCGUAAAGCGAGCGCAGACGGUUACUUAAGCAGGAUGUGAAAUCCCCGGGCUCAACCUGGGAACUGCGUUCUGAACUGGGUGACUAGAGUGUGUCAGAGGGAGGUAGAAUUCCACGUGUAGCAGUGAAAUGCGUAGAGAUGUGGAGGAAUACCGAUGGCGAAGGCAGCCUCCUGGGAUAACACUGACGUUCAUGCUCGAAAGCGUGGGUAGCAAACAGGAUUAGAUACCCUGGUAGUCCACGCCCUAAACGAUGUCAAUUAGCUGUUGGGCAACUUGAUUGCUUAGUAGCGUAGCUAACGCGUGAAAUUGACCGCCUGGGGAGUACGGUCGCAAGAUUAAAACUCAAAGGAAUUGACGGA
RNAcentral lists this ribosomal RNA (591 nucleotides) under uncultured bacterium. RNAcentral's name for it is "bacterial SSU rRNA". It matches the Rfam family "Bacterial small subunit ribosomal RNA", at positions 334 to 917 of the family's 1533-position model. The record is from RNAcentral.